RNAcentral lists this non-coding RNA (198 nucleotides) under Mycobacterium sp. RNAcentral also lists the same sequence under 1 other name. The record is from RNAcentral. Lineage: Bacteria; Bacillati; Actinomycetota; Actinomycetes; Mycobacteriales; Mycobacteriaceae.
UGCUAUCCUGGACGGGCCAGUCACCUCCGUGUGGAGUAGGGAACCCGGUGCGAAUCCGGGACUGACGCGCAGCGGUGUGGGGAUGACGAGGCGGGCCUCUCAAAAGAUCUGAGAGCCACUGGAAGCCAUGCUUCUGGGAAGGCGGCCCGCCGAGGACGACCCCCGAGUCCGAAUACCUGCUGGCGUCCGCGGCGCCGC